CCUACGGGAGGCAGCAGUGGGGAAUAUUGCACAAUGGGGGAAACCCUGAUGCAGCGACGCCGCGUGAGUGAAGAAGUAUCUCGGUACGUAAAGCUCUAUCAGCAGGGAAGAAAAUGACGGUACCUGACUAAGAAGCCCCGGCUAACUACGUGCCAGCAGCCGCGGUAAUACGUAGGGGGCGAGCGUUAUCCGGAUUCACUGGGUGGAAAGGGAGCGUAGACGGCCGUGCAAGCCAGGAGUGAAAGCCCGGGGCUCAACCCCGGGACUGCUCUUGGAACUGUGCGGCUGGAGUGCGGGAGGGGCAGGCGGAAUUCCUGGUGUAGCGGUGAAAUGCGUAGAUAUCUGGAGGAACACCGGCGGCGAAGGCGGCCUGCUGGACCGCGACUGACGUUGAGGCUCGAAAGCGUGGGGAGCGAACAGGAUUAGAUACCCUGGUAGUC
This 440-nucleotide ribosomal RNA is filed under the name uncultured bacterium. RNAcentral describes it as "partial 16S ribosomal RNA". It matches the Rfam family "Bacterial small subunit ribosomal RNA", at positions 338 to 795 of the family's 1533-position model. The record is from RNAcentral.